CCCCUGCCGCUCACACGCCCAUUGCUAGGGGCAAGAACAACUCCGGCGCAGAGCCCAGCAGGAGGAGCGCCAGUUCAGGUCGAGUAGAGAUUUGCAUAUAACAAUAGAAUUACACUAUUUACAAAGGAAAUGUGUCUCCACUCCCAUCCAGCACUUGCUCUGAGGACAGAGGAAUGAUUCGAAAAACUACAAAUCUUUAAAUAGUUCGCAUUAUAAACAUUUUUAAAUGGCCCUCUUUUGUGUUAGGUUUGGAGCAUAUUCUUUUUUGACCCAGAUCCCACUACCAAAGAAAUGGCAGCUUUGAGAAAUGAAUGUUGAUUCACUCCUAGAAUUUAACAAAAUCUAAGAUGAACAGGCCUUUAAAUUUUAGGGUUAGGUUUUAUUAAUAAAUCAUGACCAUUUAUAUGGUGCACUGCUAGGAGUAUUUUAAUUGAAAAAUAUUAUUUUACAAAUAUGUAUUUAAGUAGACAUUCCACAAUCUCAGGCCUCUGCUUUGCAAACACAGGAACUACCAUUUGGGUCAGAAUGGAAGUCCAUCUAAUCUAAUCCAGUAUCUUGUCUCAGAAUGGCCCAUACUAGAUGCUUCAGCAGAAGGUGUAAGAAACUUGUCAUAGGCAGAUCUGGGACAUGAUAGGCUUCAUCCUGAACUUUAAUAGUUAGAGAUUGGCUUAAAGUCAGAGGCAUUAGGUUUACUAUCCCUUACAAGAGUUAUCAAUAAUAAUCAUUCUUGAUAAUCUUGAUCCUUUUUUUUUGGCAUCAUGGUUUUUAGGCACCAUGAGUUUCACAAUUCAAAUUACAUGUUGUGUGAACAAGUAUUUCUUUUUAUCAGUUUUUAAUUUCCUACCUUUUAAUGGAAUAGCUCUUUGUUCGAGUAACAACAGGGAGAAUAGUAAUUCCUAAUCUACCUUCUCUAUACCAUUGUACUUUUAUCAUGUCCCCUCCUAUUUAUCUGCUUUCUAAAGUAAAAAUCCCUAUUGUAUGGAAAAACUUCAAUGUAGAGCAGCAUUUUACACAAACCAAUGCCAAAAUUAAAACACUAUAUCCCAACAGAUCAUUUUAUAUCAAAAAGAAAGACUGCCCUCUUGGCCCAGCAGUCUUUUUUUAGUAAAAAAUAAACAGGAAUUGAAAUCUGUGGUGAUGGUGUCAUAAGAAAUACUUCUAGUUCAUCAGAAAAAGCGUUUUUCAGAGGGCAAGAAAUUAGUGAAGGAGAAUCUGUAAAUUUCUGCUGCACAUAGUGGUGACCCAAAAACCCAGAAAGUAGUUGAUGGGAGUGCCCUUUCACAUAACACAGUGAUGAUAAGACGUCCCAUGAUGUGUUAGCACAGAUUAAACUUUUCAACAGCUGCAUGGAAAUAUUUUUCACUUGCAGUUUAUGACAGUGGUGAUGCUACUAUUACUGCAUAGUUGAGUGUUUUUGUUAAGUGUGUGAAUGAAAAUUUUGAUAUAAUUGAGGAACUGUUGGUCUCUGCCCACUUUGUUCUACAACCAGUGUCUCAGACUUGUUUGAAGAACCAAGAACAUGUAUUGCAAGAGUAUGCAGUGUUGUUGUAGCAGUGCUGGUCCCAGUAUAUUAGAGAGACAAGUUUCUAGCCCUCAUGGUUAAGGUGAAAAGCCUGAGAACAUGAGCAGAGUACUCCCCGAAGGCUCAAAAACUAGAUGGCAAAAAAGAACUUCUACAUUUUUUUUUUAAAUCUCAUGAUUUGUUAAUGCUUGGGGCUGGCCAUACUGGUGAGGAGACUGUCACUACUGACUAUUUUACCAAAAAUCAUCUGCUACUGUCCUUAUCCAUUGUUAGAUGCAGAAACCAUUGGACAAGGAGUUCUAUGGUAGUUGGUUGGUGUAAAAGUUUGCUGCAGUAGAAAAUUAUAUGAUGGAAUUCAUAACUCUCCCAGCCUUCUCCCCAAAUUAAAAAAAUCAAGUCACCCCUAC
Non-coding RNA from Chrysemys picta bellii (western painted turtle), 1929 nucleotides. The record is from RefSeq and is a predicted model, not a curated record. NCBI's taxonomy places the organism in Eukaryota, Metazoa, Chordata, Testudines, Emydidae.